AGUACUGGGGACUGAAGUUAUUUGAGGCCAACACUAUACAGCUGAGAUAUGUCUCCAGGCCUCUAGGAUGUCUUCGAAAUGUUCUUGUUCAAGCAGUCUGAGUGUGAAGCAACUCUUUGGUCAUUGGAACCUUCUCUCUCAGUUCUCUGGAAAGUCACUGACAUCUCCUCUCAGCCCACGUCCACACACAUUAUUCUCAGUGCUGGUGCUGGGCGCUGAAGCCCCAGGACAUCCAUGGAUGCCAUGCUGAGGUUCCUGGCUAUGGCUGAGGUCAUUGCAGAGUAAAGGCAUACACAGCAUGAGUCAGGAGUAGCCUGUCACAUGUCCCUAGCUGGACUCUGUCUUCUUCUGUGUAGCUGGAUGAAGAGAUUAGUGUCGUGUGUGCUGUAUUCGUUACUUUGCCAUUGAUGUGACCAAACACCGGACAUAAUACAACUUAAUGGAGAAAGG
Molecule: long non-coding RNA, 450 nt
Organism: Peromyscus maniculatus bairdii (prairie deer mouse)
Lineage: Eukaryota; Metazoa; Chordata; Mammalia; Rodentia; Cricetidae
Source: RefSeq, a predicted model, not a curated record